Molecule: ribosomal RNA, 476 nt
Filed under: uncultured organism
Description: partial 16S ribosomal RNA
Rfam family: Bacterial small subunit ribosomal RNA
Source: RNAcentral
UACACUCCUGCGGGAGGCAGCAGUGGGGAAUUUUGGACAAUGGGCGAAAGCCUGAUCCAGCCAUGCCGCGUGCAGGAUGAAGGCCUUCGGGUUGUAAACUGCUUUUGUACGGAACGAAACGGCCUUUUCUAAUAAAGAGGGCUAAUGACGGUACCGUAAGAAUAAGCACCGGCUAACUACGUGCCAGCAGCCGCGGUAAUACGUAGGGUGCAAGCGUUAAUCGGAAUUACUGGGCGUAAAGCGUGCGCAGGCGGUUAUGUAAGACAGUUGUGAAAUCCCCGGGCUCAACCUGGGAACUGCAUCUGUGACUGCAUAGCUAGAGUACGGUAGAGGGGGAUGGAAUUCCGCGUGUAGCAGUGAAAUGCGUAGAUAUGCGGAGGAACACCGAUGGCGAAGGCAAUCCCCUGGACCUGUACUGACGCUCAUGCACGAAAGCGUGGGGAGCAAACAGGAUUAGAAACCCGAGUAGUCCCAUG